This 408-nucleotide long non-coding RNA is filed under the name Hordeum vulgare. Its description in RNAcentral is "long non-coding RNA (HVUL_LNC004980)". The record is from RNAcentral. Lineage: Eukaryota; Viridiplantae; Streptophyta; Magnoliopsida; Poales; Poaceae.
CCGCUAUCGCUACCCCGCCACCAUGGCCACACCGCGCUCGCAUAGCCCCGCCCACCGGAGGUUCUCCUCUCCGGGUCGCCCCAGAUCCGGCCGCCUCCACCGUCAGUAGCAUGCUAGUGCGCCAACGUGCCAUGGAUACCCCACCCGAACCUCCAUCUCGGCCCGAUCCACUCGCCCGUGCACCUACCCAUCGGAUCAGCACCGCGUCGCCCAUCCUCAACCUCUGUCGCCCCUCGGCUUCGUCGAAGUCCGAGCGUCGUCAUCUGCUGCUCGAUCAUGCGCGAGUAGUUCUAGAUCCGCCAGCAUAGACCGCACCUACGCCUAGUGGGUUGUUGCACAACCUCGGCAUAGCUCCUAGCCGCCAGCCUACCCCGCACGUGGGAUACACCUAACUCAGCUCGCCCAGCG